GGGCAACACACUUACCUUCAACCAUCUUAAAGGAUUAUCCCAGCAACAUUCUCCUGCCUUACUAUUUUUAAUGGAAACAAAGAAUAAAAUGGGCUUUGUGAAGAAAAAUUAAGUAGAUUGGGUUUUUUAGCAUAUGCAUUUAAUUGAUCCUUGUGGCACUUCUGAGGAUUUGGGUUUAGCUUGGCAUGAUCAAUGUCAGGUUACUGCGAUGUAUUCUACAAUCUUCUUCUUUCACUAUCGCAUUUCUGAACCACAUCCCCAAAAAAUUUGGGAUAUCAUCCUAUUGUAUGCAAGUUGUGAGGAUGACAUUCCCAAGACUCAAUUCCAACAGCUGUUAUAGCAUAAAUCUUCUGUAUAUAUGGUGGCAGGGGACUUCAAUUCUAUUUUCUUUGCUAAUGAGAAAGUGGGUGGAAAUCCUUAUUCUCAAUGCAAAUUGCAAAUAUUUAAGGACUUUGUGGAUGAAUGGGGGUUAGCAGAC
RNAcentral lists this unclassified non-coding RNA (478 nucleotides) under Hevea brasiliensis (rubber tree). The record is from RNAcentral. Lineage: Eukaryota; Viridiplantae; Streptophyta; Magnoliopsida; Malpighiales; Euphorbiaceae.